GAUUUCCCAACUUCGGUUAUAAGAUCCCUCGAAGAUGACGAGGUUAAUAGGUUCGAGGUGGAAGCGUGGUGACACGUGGAGCUGACGAAUACUAAUCGAUCGAAGACUUAAUCAA
This 115-nucleotide ribosomal RNA is filed under the name Staphylococcus epidermidis. RNAcentral describes it as "partial 23S ribosomal RNA". It matches the Rfam family "Bacterial large subunit ribosomal RNA", at positions 2809 to 2925 of the family's 2925-position model. Lineage: Bacteria; Bacillati; Bacillota; Bacilli; Caryophanales; Staphylococcaceae. The record is from RNAcentral.